This is a long non-coding RNA of Lolium perenne, 964 nucleotides long. RefSeq lists it as uncharacterized. The record is from RefSeq and is a predicted model, not a curated record. NCBI's taxonomy places the organism in Eukaryota, Viridiplantae, Streptophyta, Magnoliopsida, Poales, Poaceae.
UGCAAGCGGGGCGGGAUAUCCCGCCACGCCGCUGGGCCGCCCCGCAAAGAAAGCCCGCGCGGCGCCGCUAAACAGCCCGCAAACCUACUCGCGGGACAAAGCGGUCAUACCGCGUGGCCCGCUAGAAAACCGCAAAACUGCAUAACCCGCAAGACGUCCUCGUCCAGACGCGAACGCUCCCUAGUCCCCACCCUCGCUGACCAAGAAAGAUUGGACAACGCCGCUGCCCCGCCCCUCCGUCGAUGCCCCGACCUCCUCUUCCCACCGCCCUCCCUCCGCAGGCUCCCUCUCGCAAUUCCUGAUGGAGAGGUUGACGGCGGCGCGGCCGCCAUCUCCACAUCGGGACCUACAUCAGCGCCGCCGCUCGCAGUUCCUCCAUCAAGAUCGGCGCCCCAGCUCACAGUUCCUCAAUUGACAUCGGCGCCCUCGCUCGCAGUUCCUGAUGGAGUGGCCGACGGCGCCGCCGCCGCCAUCUCCACAUCUGGACCUACAAAGGAUCUCUGCAAUCGGGACAUACAAAGGACCUCCAAGAAGUAUCUCUGCCAUCUUCAGAAAUCACUGCAGCUGCAAAUCAAGGUUUCAGUGCAAACUUAACAACUCCCUUGGAUGUGAUCAAGACAAGACUGCAAGGUGAACGAUCAACAACUAGGUACAUGGCAAAUCUGAUCUGAGCGAAAAGAGUUCUCCAGCGCAGCUCUUUGGUUUCUUGAGUUGGUUCAUAGCUUUUUUUUAGAGAUUGAAGGUGCUUCAUGUUGGAAUUAUUCUUGUGCUUAGUCUCAUACAUUGGUUGAUAAUGCUGUAAUAAUUAUCUAAAUAUCCGUGGCCUGAACACAUUUGCCCCCUUGUCUUGAAGUGAUAACCAUAUCACUACUGCAGAUUGGGUGCUUCAGUACUGUUGCUGAUCGAUGGAAAUCUGAUACUGGAAGUUGUAACUUGAUGGUUCAGUAGUGAGCACUGUUGUGUA